Small nuclear RNA from Otolemur garnettii (small-eared galago), 107 nucleotides. The record is from Ensembl. Lineage: Eukaryota; Metazoa; Chordata; Mammalia; Primates; Galagidae.
GUGCUCAAACUAGUAACACAUGUACCAAAAUUAGAAUGAUACAGAGAAGAUUAGCAUAGCUCCUGUGCAAGGAUGACAUGCAAAUUCAUAAAGCAUUCCAUAUUUAA